AUUUUGCUGUCUCACUCCCUGCAAUGGGGUGCCAAGCAUUCCACAGUGACACAGCAGCUUUUCCCCUGUCCCUCCAUUUCCCUUGGCUGCUCCAACUCCCCCAAAGCCACGGGGCUGCAGAUUUUCAGCGAUGCAGGUUAGAGGUUUGGCCCACCCCAAGUCCCUGAAUAGGCAAUGAAGAGAGAGGGACUCCUGGCUGGAAUCUGCAAAAGUGAUGCCCUCCUGCUCCUGUAUGAUGGGAAAUGAUGAACAGGACCCAUUUUCUUUGGUGCCAUUCAUUAUUUUGAACACCUUCAUCUUUUCCCUUCUCUGAAGCAAAAAGGUGAGAGUUGUGUCCCUCCAUUAUCGCUAAGGAAAUGAGGAGUAUCUUGCACCGAAAAGUAUUCAUUGUGCAUCUCUGCCUGAAGUACGUGGAGCCUGUGCAGUAUGUUUGAUACCUGAUGUUUGCCAAGAGAUGGAGCUGCAGAGUCAGGCUACCUACCAAGCCUGACCCCGUAAAUCAGGAACGAUAGAAUAAAACCCUUGGCAGCAAAAGCCUGUAGCCUCUCAUACUGAUGCCUGCUACUCUUCCCAAGUGACAACGAGGCUUGUGUUGGGCACUUAGCCAACUCUGUCCAAUCUAUUCCAGUUUAUUUCAUUAAGCCAUGGCUCAGAAAAGCCAAGAAACAAGCCAUAUUAAUCUUGAUGGAUCCUGGCCUCUGCUCAGAUAAUGUUAUAGAAAAUGCUCAGCAGCCCCAGAGUUGAGCAGUAACAGGAUGAAAACAGCUGCUCUCUUGGACUUGCCUUAAAACCUCUGUUCCCUACAUAUACUCCUGUGAAAUGUCAGUUCCACUGCACGGUUGUUACUCAGCUGGUAAUUUUCUGGGUUACUUUCACAAUUUAGGCAUUGCUCUAAACCUUGUCUCAGUUUUUAGUCAUCUGCAGUGUGAGACAGAAGAUAGCAAAAGGAUUCCCAAACUGCCAGGGACCUGAGUUUGUCAAUCUGUGAAGUGUCCCUCUCCAUAUGGAUUUACAGGCUUAGCUCUGGAAGCCAUAAACCUGUGUUAGUACAGAGUAAAGCCAAGUAUUUUUGGAGCAGAGCUCGGGUUCAACCCUGGGUUAAUGCAGUGAUCUGGCACGUCUGAGCCAGCUCCCAUCCACACCAUGCUCCUGUCCUUCCCAUCCCAGCACCCCGCCAAGUGGAACAAGUCCAGGUUUGUCUGUACCUGCCCGUAGUAUCCCGGGAUUACCUGGAGCUACUUCGGGAUUAGGUACAUCAUGGGGAGUCUGCUGAGCUAAUCGGGCUCUCAGUCCUCUCCAAGGCCCAGGGGAUUCUCAGAGUAGACAUUCCUGCAAACCAAGUCACUCCAGUUUCUGGGUCUUCCCACAACAGUUGGGUCUGGGUCUGCCACAUCAGUCUCAUGCAAAAAAAAAGAGCCAUGAAAGGGCAAGAACUGACUUACCCAAGUACCCUCUUGCACCCGUGAGCAGUCAGGGCAUUUUCUUGUUUUAAAAUCUGUGUUCUGCUUCAUUUGCUUAAUUCAAAAUCCUUGUGCCUACUGAUUCAUUAGGUGAGAACCAGCAGAUUAAUAUGGGAUAAAUUCUGCCUCAGUUGUGCUCCCAGAUGAGGGAGGAAGGGAGAGAGGGAGGUGAGGGAAGAGAGGUGAGUCUGCCUCUGCCUUUGGCUUGUGUUGCAAACCUCAGGUCUGUGCCAGCCAGUUUUGAACCUUUCUUCUAAUGAAGAUUUCAUCCUUUGUGUUAUGUCAAUAAGAGAGACACUCAAAACUAAAUAGAUUAGAAGAAAGGCCACUUGUGUAUUUGCUAAAUAGGAUUGGAAAAAAGUCCUUUUUCCUCCCUGUUUUUUCAUGGGAAAAAGCCAACCUGGUUAUAAGCAUAAGUCCGGCAGAAAUAUCUUUGCUGGGAAUACUGAUCAGAGAGAAGAGUUCAAAUACUUUAGGGGAUAAGGAUCCGGUAGCCUGUGUCUAGUUGGUAUUUCCUUUUGGGUGUCCAGGGCAGCUCUUUGCUUGCUAAUUUCUGAAAUUGUUCUUUUCUGUAAUUUUAGGCUAUGAUUGGCCCUGGCUGUCAGAUAUUCUGAAAAUGUAGUGUGGCAGCCCCAAGCUGUCUUUGGAGUUUUAGACUACACAGAGUUUGGUGAAAUAUUUUUUAAUCUGAUUUCCCAGUGAAAAGUCUGUUUGUCAAUCAGUCUGUUGUUUUUUGGUUGGGGAGGGAAGAAAAUCCACAAAUAAUGCAUGAGAGAAGUGGACCAUUAUCCAUGCUUGUAGAUGGCAGAUGACUGGUCAAUAUACAUGUCCUUUUUGGCCAUGCGUAGAUCUAAAAUACCAUAACACACAUUGUCCCUUGCUCUGGUGUCAAAAGAGAGAAGAUUUUGAGUUACAAGAAAAAAAAUACGUAUCUAACUUUACAUAAUAACUUCUUGAAAUACCUGUGGGGUUUUUAGUGUGGUAAAUAAAUGAUGGUUUUUUAAACCAAAAUAACCCCCUUAUACCUUAGGUCUUCUGAUACAAGGACCUACAGGUACAUACACUCCACUGGAGCAGUGACUCCCAGCUUUCAUUACCAUGUCCCUGAGCCCAACAAGUCCGUGUGGAGCCCACACUGGGCUUGUGGGACUGCUAGCUUGGGAACUGGGCUAUAGUUCAGAUAAAAUAUGCUCGUUCCUCACCUCUGAAGCCCACAUUAUUGGUUAGAAACUGUAGCUUUAGGUAAGCCCUGGUAACUCACUGAAACUCUGUGCCUCAUCCUCUCUGCUCUGGUAAAUAGAAACAUCAAUAUUGGAUAAAUAUAAUUAUAUGUUUUGUCAUAACUUAAAGAUGUUCUUCUUUGUACAGAUAAGCAACAUUUUCUUACU
Molecule: long non-coding RNA, 2848 nt
Organism: Lepidothrix coronata (blue-crowned manakin)
Lineage: Eukaryota; Metazoa; Chordata; Aves; Passeriformes; Pipridae
Exons: 4
Source: RefSeq, a predicted model, not a curated record